AGUGAACGCUGGCGGUAGGCCUAACACAUGCAAGUUGAACGGCAGCACAGUAAGAGCUUGCUCUUACGGGUGGCGAGUGGCGGACGGGUGAGGAAUACAUCGGAAUCUACUUUUUCGUGGGGGAUAACGUAGGGAAACUUACGCUAAUACCGCAUACGACCUACGGGUGAAAGCAGGGGAUCUUCGGACCUUGCGCGAUUGAAUGAGCCGAUGUCGGAUUAGCUAGUUGGCGGGGUAAAGGCCCACCAAGGCGACGAUCCGUAGCUGGUCUGAGAGGAUGAUCAGCCACACUGGAACUGAGACACGGUCCAGACUCCUACGGGAGACAGCAGUGGGGAAUAUUGGACAAUGGGCGCAAGCCUGAUCCAGCCAUACCGCGUGGGUGAAGAAGGCCUUCGGGUUGUAAAGCCCUUUUGUUGGGAAAGAAAAGCAGCAGGUUAAUACCCCGCUGUUCUGACGGUACCCAAAGAAUAAGCACCGGCUAACUUCGUG
Molecule: ribosomal RNA, 492 nt
Filed under: uncultured bacterium
Lineage: Bacteria
Description: partial 16S ribosomal RNA
Rfam family: Bacterial small subunit ribosomal RNA
Source: RNAcentral